Sphaerodactylus townsendi is the source of this 949-nucleotide long non-coding RNA. RefSeq lists it as uncharacterized. NCBI's taxonomy places the organism in Eukaryota, Metazoa, Chordata, Lepidosauria, Squamata, Sphaerodactylidae. The transcript has 3 exons. The record is from RefSeq and is a predicted model, not a curated record.
AAACCAAGCAGAAGUGCUGACUACCUGGAGUUACUCAACACUGCUGCAGGGGAGAACAAAAUGGAAAAGAAAGAUGAAUAGAAGGACUGGGGAGUCAAAGGUCAAACCUCCACAAUGAAAAUAGGCCCCGAGCCAAGUGAAGUCCCAAAUGGCAGAACAGAGGAACAAAGUAGAAAGAAAAAAAUCAAAAGGGAAUCAAAUCAGAGAUCUGUAAAUUCCUGUGUAUGCACUUAAAGAAGAAGCUGGGAUCAAACCAGACAAGCUUACAGAGGACAGUAGCUAAAUUCCAGGAGCCUUGCCUAUCUUACCCUGUAUAAUUGACUAACAUGCAAAGUAUACAAACUCUCAACCAAUGGGCACACAAGGUGCACACAUCCUCAACCAAUGGGUGCGCACAACUGCCCUGAGCACAUAUUGGUUGAAGGUACAUCCUCACCUCUCCCCUCCCCUGUCCAACCUCCCUGCCAUGACUUCUCUUUCUGUAUCAGUGACAGACCAGCACGGCUCCCUCCCACUCUUUUUCAUUUGACAAAAGCCAGCGGUAGAGGGAUGACAGCCUCAUUUCAGGCCACCACAGCUGGAAGGAGAACAGUUUGUGGGGAGGGCAGGGCAGGCCGCUGAGCUGAGGCCAAGCAGACAAUCACUUCCCUUCAGGCUGAUGGGACUGGAAGGACAGCGAUGUGGGGGGGGAGGGGAGGGAAGUGAUUAAGCCAAACUGAGUGGAAGAGCCUGGUAAAAAGAGGAAGGGGAACAACAGGAAGCCAUGCCCCUCCCUCUCUAUAUGGCAUCAUGGCUGGUGCCCCUGAAGGAGAACAUUUGGAGGGAGGGCAGGGAAGGCCACUGCACUCUCCCCUCCCCCAGCUAGAGCCCAUUUCACUGCACUCUGAAAUGGGCUUUCCUGCUAGUGAGACAAUAAAGGAGAUCAAGUCCAGCAUCCUCAGAAACUCUC